This 468-nucleotide ribosomal RNA is filed under the name uncultured bacterium. RNAcentral describes it as "partial 16S ribosomal RNA". It matches the Rfam family "Bacterial small subunit ribosomal RNA", at positions 28 to 507 of the family's 1533-position model. The record is from RNAcentral.
GACGAACGCUGGCGGCGUGCUUAACACAUGCAAGUCGAACGGAAAGGCCCUGCUUUUGUGGGGUGCUCGAGUGGCGAACGGGUGAGUAACACGUGAGUAACCUGCCCUUGACUUUGGGAUAACUUCAGGAAACUGGUGCUAAUACCGGAUAGGAGCUCCUGCUGCAUGGUGGGGGUUGGAAAGUUUCGGCGGUUGGGGAUGGACUCGCGGCUUAUCAGCUUGUUGGUGGGGUAGUGGCUUACCAAGGCUUUGACGGGUAGCCGGCCUGAGAGGGUGACCGGCCACAUUGGGACUGAGGUACGGCCCAGACUCCUACGGUAGACAGCAGGGGAGAAUAUUGCACAAUGGGCGGAAGCCUGAUGCAGAAACGCCGCGUGCGGGAUGACGGCCUUCGGGUUGUAAACCGCUUUCGCCUGUGACGAAGCGGGAGUGACGGUAAUGGGUAAAGAAGCACCGGCUAACUACGUG